AAGAGAUAGGGCAUCACCAAGAGAAGCAUUUGGUCGCAACAUAGCAAAUGGCCGUAUAUUUGAUUCCCCAAUUUUUGGAACCCAUGUACCUAGAGGAAUUGUACAAAUAGGUUGUUGAAGAACAGGCAACGAGCUAGCAGAGUGCCUAAAGUGCCUGCAUAUACCUGGAAUUUAGGUCCAUGUGUUAGCAAACAUGUUAUAUAACCCAAGCAAUAAAGCAAGCAAGCUUACAUUUUAAUAUUCCUGACAGAGAAGCAAGAUGUAGUAGCUGGGGAAAUGAACCAUCCGGUGAAGAAGUAUGAAUAAUGGGAAUCGUCGAUAUUUUGUUUUGCAAAAUUUUCAAUGCAACAUCUUUCAAAGAAUCAUGUGGCCCAGCCUGCAUAUUACUGGAGUUGUUGAUAAUAAUCUAGUGAUAAAACAGAUUGCAAAUACCAGACACGAAGGACGAACUACAAAAAAGCCUGUCUCAAGCAAUUCAUUUGUCCCAUCAAAUCCAUAAACUUAAUUACAAAUGUAUGCCAUAGCCUACUGUCUAAAAUGAGCAGUUCAGACCAAAUGGAGCAUAAUUAUUGAAACCAGCUAUCUCGUUUAUGUCCUUGAAAACAACAUGCACACCAAUUGCUUAUUUGCAGAUGAUCACAUGCAUAUGAGAAUAAUUUACAGUACUUCAAGCCUUAAUCAUGUAAGAUGCAGAAAAAAUAACAAAGCAAAGGAGAUGGAUCUGUUUUGUUAUCCUGAUUAUGUUGGCAAGGAAUCUUUGAUGCGACUUACAUGGAUGAGAUGCCAAGGAUGUGCUCUCCCAUUGCCAUUAAUUUGUCUGUUAAGAUAUAAUUUUCCUUCCUUCCAAGCUGAUAUAGUAUGUGUCUCCAAUUCUUCCUCUGUCAAAUUGGACCCAUGAUUUCCAAGCUCCCUCAGAAUCAAGAUAAAGUCCAACGCACUAAGAACUCCAACAAACUGGCCCUUUACAAAGUCCCAGAGAGGAGCUAGAGGGACACCCUGUUCAUGAAGAAUAUGGAAUGCUUGCUUGACUGGUAAAUUAACAUCCAAGGCAAUAACCUUGCCUGACUCGGGAAGCAGCUCAUACACAGUAUGCAUGGACAAAAAUGCAGAAAUACGGUGACGAGAAACCUGUAAAUCAGCCUCUGAUAUCCUUGAGAUUGCUCCCGGACGUGAAAAGGCAUCAUCCAGCUCCAUAUUAGAUCCAGAUGUCUCAAGAUCAAGAACUGGAGUAUUCAUAUAAGGUUGACUAGGUAAGAAAACUGUAUUUACUACCCCAUAAUUCCCACUUACAGAGGGCUGGUGUUCAUCAUGCCGCCAUUCUCCGUCAACAAAAAACUUGUACUGGUGGUGUCCUGGUGUUAAGCUGCAAAUAACUUGGAAAACAGUCGGGCAUCCCUCCAUUGGUGACAUAGGUAUGUGUUCAGUCCAACCAGUGAAAGAGCCACUGAGAAAGACACUCCUCCCUCCGUACGGCCACACAAAGCGCAUAGGAACCACUACAGUAUCUUCAUGGCCGGUAGCUGUACUAGAACCAAACAUCGCCCUCCCAAAAACAGUUUAUGUAUAUAUAUGUGCGACAAUCAAUACCAAUCCACAAAAUGCCAAGUAUGCAAAAUCCCUCAACUUGCCAAAAACAAAGCCUUCAAAUCAACUGAUUGUUAUUAUUUGCAUUUCUCAACCUCUUCAACAAUAAUAAUUAGGCAAAUAAUAAAACAAUUAAUAGGGAUCCUCCACAGUCUAGCAGAGGACCCCUUACUGCUUACACAUGUAGAGUCACCAAAUCAAAGCCAAAACCCUAAAAUUUAUAAAAUCCAAAUCCUUAGAAAUCUCCUUCUCAGCAUUCAACCAAAACUCACUGAAUUUGAGCCCCAAACUGAAGAAUUCCCACAAAUCCACUAGAUCCUCAAUUGAAGCUUUUGAUCCGGUCCAAAAAAACAAAACUUUAGAGGUGAAUCGAAUCUGGGAACCCAAAACAAUGAACACUGGGCACAGAAUUGAGUGAGAAAAGAGUGGGUUUAGUGGUAAUUUAGAGGGACAAUGGGAAUGAUAGAGAAAGAAAAACCGCAAUUGUUAUAGGGGCAGGAUUAAAGAGAAAUUGGCAUUGUGGUGUUGGAUCUCAAAAGAGAUUCUUUGUGGGUUUUUUAUUUUUCUUUUUUCUUUUCUUAAGCAUCAUAAUUUAUUUUGUCACAAGUCAACUUAAAUUCACAACCCUCAAUUAAUCAUACAACAGUUGUUCAUAAGUAAGGACCAUCAUAGCUAAAAUAUCAGAAAAUAGCCCUCAUUCUGCAAAAUGGAGAAUUCAUCAGUUGAACACUCUCUUUACUCUUUGCUUUUCAGUUGGGGAAGAGAAAGAGGGAAGGGGGGAGAAUGUUUCAAACAGGAAAUUCUAUGGCCAUAAAUAGUGUAAGGACAUGGUAUUCUGACCAGCUCUGGUGGAAGUGCUGAU
This 2446-nucleotide unclassified non-coding RNA is filed under the name Hevea brasiliensis (rubber tree). Lineage: Eukaryota; Viridiplantae; Streptophyta; Magnoliopsida; Malpighiales; Euphorbiaceae. The record is from RNAcentral.